CGGUAACAGGAACAGCUUCUCUUCUCUGACGAGUGGCGGACGGGUGAGUAAUGUCUGGGAAACUGCCUGAUGGAGGGGGAUAACUACUGGAAACGGUAGCUAAUACCGCAUAACGUCGCAAGACCAAAGAGGGGGACCUCCGGGCCUCUUGCCAUCGGAUGUGCCCAGAUGGGAUUAGCUAGUAGGUGGGGUAACGGCUCACCUAGGCGACGAUCCCUAGCUGGUCUGAGAGGAUGACCAGCCACACUGGAACUGAGACACGGUCCAGACUCCUACGGGAGGCAGCAGUGGGGAAUAUUGCACAAUGGGCGCAAGCCUGAUGCAGCCAUGCCGCGUGUAUGAAGAAGGCCUUCGGGUUGUAAAGUACUUUCAGCGGGGAGGAAGGUGUUGAGGUUAAUAACCUCAGCAAUUGACGUUACCCGCAGAAGAAGCACCGGCUAACUCCGUGCCAGCAGCCGCGGUAAUACGGAGGGUGCAAGCGUUAAUCGGAAUUACUGGGCGUAAAGCGCACGCAGGCGGUCUGUCAAGUCGGAUGUGAAAUCCCCGGGCUCAACCUGGGAACUGCAUUCGAAACUGGCAGGCUAGAGUCUUGUAGAGGGGGGUAGAAUUCCAGGUGUAGCGGUGAAAUGCGUAGAGAUCUGGAGGAAUACCGGUGGGCGAAAGCGGCCCCCUGGCACAAAAACUGACGCUCAGGUGCGAAAGCGUGGGGGAGCAAACCAGGAAUUAGAUACCCUUGGUAGU
RNAcentral lists this ribosomal RNA (741 nucleotides) under uncultured bacterium. RNAcentral describes it as "bacterial SSU rRNA". It matches the Rfam family "Bacterial small subunit ribosomal RNA", at positions 67 to 794 of the family's 1533-position model. The record is from RNAcentral.